Vicia faba (fava bean) is the source of this 237-nucleotide non-coding RNA. The record is from the annotation of a GenBank genome assembly. NCBI's taxonomy places the organism in Eukaryota, Viridiplantae, Streptophyta, Magnoliopsida, Fabales, Fabaceae.
AUGGAAGAGUUUGGACUCUCCAGUUUUGUGAUAUAUUACUUUUUAUUCAAGGACACAUCCAACAGGGAAAACAAUUGGCAUGCCAUUACUGAUGGGAUUUGCUCCAGCACUGUUGUAUCAAUUAGAUCACACUCUUUUAACAAUUUGUGUGAUGGUAAUUUGAGGAACCUUGCUUCUAGUUUAUUUAAGUGUGAAUUUAGAAGCCCUCGUAUAGUCUUUUAUUAUUAUUUUUAUUAA